CUGUGAUUAAUACCAAGCUUCCAGGAAAAGCCACUAAGCUUCAGUCUAGAGUCGACCGUACCGCAAACCGACACAGGUGGGCAGGAUGAAAAUUCUAAGGCGCUUGAGAGAACUCAGGAGAAGGAACUCGGCAAAUUGACACCGUAACUUCGGGAGAAGGUGUGCCCCGGUAGGUUGUAGAGCCUCGCGCUCGAAGGCCGAUGGGGUUGCAGUGAAAUGGUGGCUGCGACUGUUUAAUAAAAACACAGCACUCUGCAAACACGAAAGUGGACGUAUAGGGUGUGACGCCUGCCCGGUGCUGGAAGAUUAAAUGAUGGGGUGCAAGCUCUUGAUUGAAGUCCCAGUAAACGGCGGCCGUAACGAUAACGGUCCUAAGGUAGCGAAAUUCCUUGUCGGGUAAGUUCCGACCUGCACGAAUGGCGUAACGAUGGCCACACUGUCUCCUCCUGAGACUCAGCGAAGUUGAAAUGUUUGUGAAGAUGCAAUCUCCCCGCGGCAAGACGGAAAGACCCCAUGAACCUUUACUGCAGCUUUGCAUUGGACUUUGAACCGGUUUGUGUAGGAUAGGUGGGAGACUGUGAAACCGGGACGCUAGUCUCGGUGGAGUCGUCCUUGAAAUACCACCCUGAUUUGUUUGAGGUUCUAACCUAGGCCAGUGAAUCCUGGCCGGGGACCGUGCAUGGUAGGCAGUUUGACUGGGGCGGUCUCCUCCCAAAAGGUAACGGAGGAGUACGAAGGUACGCUUAGGGCGGUCGGACAUCGCCCAUAAAGUGCAAUGGCAAAAGCGUGCUUGACUGCGAGACCCACAAGUCGAGCAGGUGCGAAAGCAGGUCAUAGUGAUCCGGUGGUUCUGUAUGGAAGGGCCAUCGCUCAACGGAUAAAAGGUACCCUGGGGAUAACAGGCUGAUACCGCCCAAGAGUUCAUAUCGACGGCGGUGUUUGGCACCUUGAUGUCGGCUCAUCUCAUCCUGGGGCUGUAGCCGGUCCCAAGGGUAUGGCUGUUCGCCAUUUAAAGAGGUACGUGAGCUGGGUUUAAAACGUCGUGAGACAGUUUGGUCCCUAUCUGCCGUGGGCGCUGGAAAUUUGAAGGGGGCUGCUCCUAGUACGAGAGGACCGGAGUGGACGAACCUCUGGUGUACCGGUUAUGACGCCAGUCGUAUCGCCGGGUAGCUAUGUUCGGAAGAGAUAAACGCUGAAAGCAUCUAAGCGUGAAACUCGCCUUAAGAUAAGAUUUCCCGGAGUCUUGAACUCCUUGAAGGGUCGUCGAAGACCACGACGUUGAUAGGUCAGGUGUGGAAGCGCAGUAAUGCGUUAAGCUAACUGAUACUAAUUGCCCGUACGGCUUGAU
Molecule: ribosomal RNA, 1348 nt
Filed under: metagenome
Description: bacterial LSU rRNA
Rfam family: Bacterial large subunit ribosomal RNA
Source: RNAcentral